RNAcentral lists this ribosomal RNA (774 nucleotides) under uncultured Neocallimastigales. RNAcentral's name for it is "partial large subunit ribosomal RNA". It matches the Rfam family "Eukaryotic large subunit ribosomal RNA", at positions 26 to 644 of the family's 3401-position model. The record is from RNAcentral. Lineage: Eukaryota; Fungi; Neocallimastigomycota; Neocallimastigomycetes; Neocallimastigales.
CGCAUCUGUGCAUGCAGCAUAUCAAUAAGCGGAGGAAAAGAAACUAACAAGGAUUCCCCUAGUAACGGCGAGUGAAGCGGGAAGAGCUCAAAUUUGAAAUCUUAAAGGGUUUCCCUUUACGAAUUGUAGUUUAAAGAAGUGUUUUCUGUUGAGGUUUUGGUAAAAGUUCUUUGGAAUAGGACAUCAUAGAGGGUGAGAAUCCCGUAUUUGACCUUUACUUUCAACUUUGUGAUACACUUUCAAAGAGUCGGAUUGUUUGGGAAUGCAGUCCAAAAUGGGUGGUAAAUUUCAUCUAAAGCUAAAUAUUGGCGAGAGACCGAUAGCGAACAAGUACCGUGAGGGAAAGAUGAAAAGAACUUUGAAAAGAGAGUUAAACAGUACGUGAAAUUGUCAAAAGGGAAGCGUUUGACACCAGUGUUGUUUUUCUGAAAAUCAAUUAAAGAACUGUUUAUGCUAAGUUGUUUAGACUUUAUCAGCUAUCUGUUUAGUUUUGAGCUUUUCUUUAAUGCACUUUUCAGUUAACAAGUCAACAUCAAUUUCUUUUGCUGUAAAAAAGCUUGAGGAAGGUGGCUUGAGAUUCGUCUUAAGUGUUUAUAGCCUCUUGCCUAUGCAGUCGGAGAGAUUGAGGUCUGCAGCGUAGAUCCUUCGGGGCUAAAUGCAUUUGUGCUAAGUUAUAGCAUUUUAUAGACAACUUGUUGACUAUGAUUUGUCUUGUAGCUUACUCGCUUAUGUUAUUUUACCUACGCUUAGGAUGUUGACUGAUAUGUAGUCGUA